This is a non-coding RNA of Misgurnus anguillicaudatus (oriental weatherfish), 1024 nucleotides long. NCBI's taxonomy places the organism in Eukaryota, Metazoa, Chordata, Actinopteri, Cypriniformes, Cobitidae. The record is from RefSeq and is a predicted model, not a curated record.
UGGAUGCAUUGUGUGUUGUAAGCUUUUCGUGGCGCUAGAUGUCAGACAGAUGCAAAUGGCAAAUACAUACGAAAGUGUAAAACGUGUAUGGCGAACGUUUGUUUUUCUGUCAUUAUAGAUGCUAGUUUGGUAAAAGUACACACUGAGUGCUUCAAAUCAUUCAGAAGAGAUGCUGUUUUUAAGGGCAAUUUAUUAAAGAAGACCUGACAUGGAUGACUUCCAGUGAGAAACGACUGCUAAUACUUAUAUAAAUUCAUUACAGAAGGACCCUACCAGACUAUAUUUGAAUACGGCAUACCCAUGAAUUCUGAACUGUUAUUCCUUAACCCAGUUUGGAGGAUAAGAGCUUACCAACUAGUUAUAAAUAUGCUGAGGCGAUGUAUUGCAAAAUAGCCAACAUACAACAAUUAAAGGAUAAAUGCAGACUACAUCCUGAUGAAGAUAUGGAUGACCCUCUGUCUGGUCAACAGGAGUUUAAAUAUGGAUGGGACAGUGAUGUGGCAGCUCUUCCCUGGCUCAUUCACCUCUUGCCUUCAUUUGUGAAAGAAGGAAAGACUGGAGAGGGUCAAUGUGCAACUGAAGCUACUGAUUGUGCUGUGUGAUGAGCAUCAAUCCAUGCUGUGAGGUGGAUGGAUCAGCACAGCCCUGCCUGCUCUGCGUUGGGAACAAAAGUUGCAUCCAGAGUUUUUGCAUCAUUCUGGACCAAAAAGCCAUUCCCUCCAUGAUGAAGACCACUGAUGCAGCCUUCCACUACAUCAUGAGUAAAACAACUACAGAACUUAAUACCAGGUUGGAACGUAUUUAAAAAAAUGAAACGUUGUUUGAAUUGAAAUGUCUGUUUUGUUAUGGAAAAAUCUUUAGUAUUGUGAAGGAUAAGCAUUUCUGCCUGCCAGUAAGGUAAUUGCAGUGUAUUUUAAUAGUCAAGUUUUGAGUAGGGUGGCAAAUUUUUUUAACUCUUAUUUGAUUUAUUAAAGACCUUAUAAUAAGUGGUUUUCAUGUCACUGCGCUGUGGUAUAAGAUAACU